CAGUCGCCGCGGGAAUACGGAGGGUGCAAGCGUUAAUCGGAAUUACUGGGCGUAAAGCGUGCGUAGGCGGUUCGUUAAGUCUGUUGUGAAAGCCCCGGGCUCAACCUGGGAAUGGCAAUGGAUACUGGCGAGCUAGAGUGUGUCAGAGGAUGGUGGAAUUACCGGUGUAGCGGUGAAAUGCGUAGAGAUCGGGAGGAACAUCAGUGGCGAAGGCGGCCAUCUGGGACAACACUGACGCUGAGGCACGAAAGCGUGGGGAGCAAACAGGAUUAGAUACCCGCGUAGUCCCUGUCUCUUAUAC
RNAcentral lists this ribosomal RNA (301 nucleotides) under uncultured bacterium. RNAcentral's name for it is "partial 16S ribosomal RNA". It matches the Rfam family "Bacterial small subunit ribosomal RNA", at positions 509 to 807 of the family's 1533-position model. The record is from RNAcentral.